GUGCUCACUUUGGCAGCACAUAUACUAAAAUUGGAACGAUACAGAGAAGAUCAGCAUGGCUCCUGCGCAAGGAUGACACACAAAUUUGUGAGGUGCUCUGUAUUUUG
Molecule: small nuclear RNA, 107 nt
Organism: Hyaena hyaena (striped hyena)
Lineage: Eukaryota; Metazoa; Chordata; Mammalia; Carnivora; Hyaenidae
Source: RefSeq, a predicted model, not a curated record